Molecule: non-coding RNA, 84 nt
Organism: Mycena polygramma
Lineage: Eukaryota; Fungi; Basidiomycota; Agaricomycetes; Agaricales; Mycenaceae
Source: the annotation of a GenBank genome assembly
GCCGCCGUAGCACAAAGGUAGUGCAUUGCCUUCCUAACUUCCUGGAUCAGGCAAAGGCUGUGGGUUCGAGCCCCAUCGGCGGUU